RNAcentral lists this unclassified non-coding RNA (253 nucleotides) under uncultured Chlamydiales bacterium. Its description in RNAcentral is "contains 16S-23S intergenic spacer region". It matches the Rfam family "Bacterial small subunit ribosomal RNA", at positions 524 to 776 of the family's 1533-position model. Lineage: Bacteria; Pseudomonadati; Chlamydiota; Chlamydiia; Chlamydiales. The record is from RNAcentral.
UACGGAGGGUGCAAGCAUUAAUCGGAUUUAUUGGGCGUAAAGGGCGCGUAGGCGGGAAGGUAAGUCAGAUGUUAAAGACCAGGGCUCAACUCUGGAAAAGCAUUUGAAACUACCUUUCUUGAGGGUAGACGGGGAAAGUAGAAUUCUGUGUGUAGCGGUGAAAUGCGUAGAUAUACAGAGGAAUACCCGUGGCGAAGGCGACUUUCUAGUCUACACCUGACGCUGAGGCGCGAAAGCAAGGGGAGCAAACAGG